CAGUCGCCACGGUAAUACAGAGGGUGCGAGCGUUAAUCGGAUUUACUGGGCGUAAAGCGUGCGUAGGCGGCUUCUUAAGUCGGAUGUGAAAUCCCUGAGCUUAACGUGGGAAUUGCAUUCGAUACUGGUUAGCUAGAGUGUGGGAGAGGAUGGUAGAAUUCCAGGUGUAGCGGUGAAAUGCGUAGAGAUCUGGAGGAAUACCGAUGGCGAAGGCAGCCAUCUGGCCUAACACUGACGCUGAGGUACGAAAGCAUGGGGAGCAAACAGGAUUAGAUACCAGAGUAGUCCCUGUCUCUUAUAC
This 301-nucleotide ribosomal RNA is filed under the name uncultured bacterium. Its description in RNAcentral is "partial 16S ribosomal RNA". It matches the Rfam family "Bacterial small subunit ribosomal RNA", at positions 509 to 807 of the family's 1533-position model. The record is from RNAcentral.